This 201-nucleotide ribosomal RNA is filed under the name uncultured bacterium. RNAcentral describes it as "partial 16S ribosomal RNA". It matches the Rfam family "Bacterial small subunit ribosomal RNA", at positions 1300 to 1500 of the family's 1533-position model. The record is from RNAcentral.
GCAGUCUGCAACUCGACUGCAUGAAGCUGGAAUCGCUAGUAAUCGCGAAUCAGAAUGUCGCGGUGAAUACGUUCCCGGGCCUUGUACACACCGCCCGUCACACCAUGGGAGUUGGAAGCACCCGAAGUCGGUGACCUGACCGAAAGGGAGGAGCCGCCGAAGGUGAAGCCAGCGACUGGGGUGAAGUCGUAACAAGGUACC